GACGAACGCUGGCGGCGUGCUUAACACAUGCAAGUCGAACGAAGUGGCGAACGGGUGAGUAAUACGUGGGUAACCUGCCCUCCUUUUUGGGAUAAGCCUUGGAAACGGGGUCUAAUACCGAAUAAAGGGGGAUGGGCUCGCGGCCUAUCAGCUGGGUGGUGGGGUGAUGGCCUACCAAGGCGGUGACGGGUAGCCGGCCUUGGAGGGUGACAGGCGACAUUGGGAAGGGAAUACGGCCCAGACUCCUACGGGAGGCGGCAGUGGGGGAUAUUGGACGAAGGGCGAAAGCCGGAAGCCGCGGUGCGGCGUGAGGGAUGAAGGCUUUCGGGUUGUAAUCGUCUGUCGCUAUCGAACGGGUAGGUGAAGAAGAAGCGCCGGCUAACUACGUGCCAGCAGCCGCGGUAAUAC
This 408-nucleotide ribosomal RNA is filed under the name uncultured bacterium. RNAcentral's name for it is "partial 16S ribosomal RNA". It matches the Rfam family "Bacterial small subunit ribosomal RNA", at positions 28 to 526 of the family's 1533-position model. The record is from RNAcentral.